RNAcentral lists this ribosomal RNA (405 nucleotides) under uncultured bacterium. RNAcentral's name for it is "partial 16S ribosomal RNA". It matches the Rfam family "Bacterial small subunit ribosomal RNA", at positions 29 to 525 of the family's 1533-position model. The record is from RNAcentral.
AUUGAACGCUGGCGGCAGGCUUAACACAUGCAAGUCGAGCGAGCGGCGGACGGGUGAGUAAUGUCUGGGAAACUGCCUGAUGGAGGGGGAUAACUACUGGAAACGGUAGCUAAUACCGCAUACCAUCAGAUGUGCCCAGAUGGGAUUAGCUAGUAGGUGGGGUAAUGGCUCACCUAGGCGACGAUCCCUAGCUGGUCUGAGAGGAUGACAAGCCACACGGGAACGGAGAAACGGUCAAGAGCCCUAGGGGGGGAAGAAGUGGGGAAUAUUGAACAAUGGGCGAAAGCCUGAUGCAGCCAGGCCGGGUGUGUGAAGAAGGCCUUCGGGUGGUAAAGAACUUUCAGCGAGGAGGCGUUACUCGCAGAAGAAGCACCGGCUAACUCCGUGCCAGCAGCCGCGGUAAUU